AUCCAGAGCUUGACAAAGUGUAUAUUGACACAUAUAUGCCGGACGAAAAUCGUAUUGUUAGAAGUCAUUUGUUUUGUAUCUUUGUAAAGACGCUCAUAGACGUACAUCGCGUAGAUUUUUUUUUUCUAAUCGUAAAUUGACUAUCAUAUUUGUUUUUCGUUCAUUAUGUUGUACAUAAAUCAGGCUGUUAGUUUUUUUGUUUAAAUUAUUUUACAUUUGUUAUUUCGGG
RNAcentral lists this long non-coding RNA (229 nucleotides) under Mytilus galloprovincialis (Mediterranean mussel). Lineage: Eukaryota; Metazoa; Mollusca; Bivalvia; Mytilida; Mytilidae. The record is from RNAcentral.